Patella vulgata (common limpet) is the source of this 1700-nucleotide long non-coding RNA. RefSeq lists it as uncharacterized. NCBI's taxonomy places the organism in Eukaryota, Metazoa, Mollusca, Gastropoda, Patellidae. The transcript has 3 exons. The record is from RefSeq and is a predicted model, not a curated record.
GAUGCCAAACGCCGCUAGAGGCGCUGGCUGUCCUAUUAUUGGUGUGCUAAAAAACCUGACCGAAAAAUGUACCGUUUCUACUACGGGGUCUCAUGAAUAUUCAGGAAGUCAAAACGUGGUCACGUGGCACUUUUCCGGAACCUGGUGAGCUGAAGUUAGCGGACUGCCAUAGCAGCUUAUAUUUACUAUGGAAGAAGAGUAUUCACAACCAUUAUUCAUAACAGAUUCUGAGGAGAGUGAAAAAGAAAUUGGAGCAAGUGAAUCUCAAGCACAGACGCAAGCUCCAAGAUUCAUGCCACUUUUCACUCCACGCUUUAGUUCUGAGAAUACAGCAUUGAUAUUUUUUAUCACUGUAUGCAAUUUUUUACUCAUUGUUGUACAUCUUUUUUUUUAAAAUUUUAUAACCAGAGAUAUUUGUUAUUUAUAGAGAAGGGGUGAUUCUUUCUUUAAUAAUGUCAUAACAUUCGAUUACUUAUACAUGUAACUUUUUGUAUUUGCAUAUGACUUUGAUGACGUCCAGUCAUGCCAAAAAAGAAAUUAUUUUGUCAUGUGUAAUCCCUGUGAUUAUAUCAUAUAUUGUUAAUUUUUUUAAGUUUUAUAUUUUUGGUUUUGUAGUUGGUAGUUUUCAUAUGAUUGAUGUUGAUCAUGAUACACAGUUUUGUUUUCUGUUAUUUUUAGAUUUAGGUCAUAAGUUUUCACCCAGAAAAAUUCUGUUAUUUAUUUAUUUUUGUUGAUUUUAAGUUUUAUUGAUUUUGUUAAUUGAAAUAAAGAUAUUUUUAUUGAUCAUAAUACUUGUGAUUUUCCAUUCCUGAAACAACUAUUUUUGUCUGUGUGUUUUGCAUGUGUAUGUAUCCAGGAAAAGACUGUGAAUAUUUUAAUAGCCUCUAGACCUACAGGGGGGUUGGAUGGCUGAAUGGUUAGCGUGCGCGUGCUGUAUCAGAAAGUCUGUCAUUGAGUCGACUGGCGUGGUUUCGAAUCCCCGGUUGUACGUGACAAGGAGUAGGGUCGCCUGUCCAACCUCGUGGGUUUUCUCCGGGUCCUCCGGUUUCCUCCCACUGCUAAAGACCCCUACGCGCAAGCGAAUUAUUGAAAUAAAAUUAAACCCUAUGUUAGUCCCGAAAUGACCUAGUUUGUGUCGAGUGGACGUUAAACCCCAUUUCUCUCUCUCUCUCUAGACCUACAGUUGACCCGUGACCUUACACUUUCUGUAUGACCUUGACAUGGUAUAGUCAAAAAAUGCAAUUCGAGUAGCUGAUGCCUAAUAAAAAAACACGAUAACAAUGUGAAAACAUUAUUUGUGUAUCUAUCACAUCAAAAAACGGGUUGGGUAAAUAUUUCAAAGCCCUGGGACUUCUACAUGGUUUAUUAUUAACUAUCACGUCAUUUUUUUGCUGUGACCUUGAACGAAAAUUGUCUCGGUCGUAAGUUUGAGAGUCUGUAGCACACACACUAUAUAACCGAAGAGUCUCCCGAUAAUUUGAUUCAAUCCAGUACAUCUUGAACUUCAAAUUCUGCAAGUUUCGUGGAUCUACCUAUUAUAGUGUCUGAGAUAUUAGCUUCGGUCAGGUUUUUUACGUUUUUUAAAAAAAGCCGUAUUUUGGUGCCUCCAAUUCGCGGUCUUCAAAAUGCCAUAACUUUUUUAAUUUUCAAUAUUUUUUCAAAAUUCUUUCAGAUUAUUGAAUCUAAAUAGUUGACGCUUG